UACGGGGGGAGCAAGCGCUGUUCGGAUUUACUGGGCGUAAAGGGCGCGUAGGCGGCCACCGCAAGUCGACUGUGAAAUCUCCGGGCUUAACCCGGAAAGGUCAGCCGAUACUGCGGGGCUAGAGUGCAGAAGGGGCAACUGGAAUUCUCGGUGUAGCGGUGAAAUGCGUAGAUAUCGAGAGGAACACCUGCGGCGAAGGCGGGUUGCUGGGCUGACACUGACGCUGAUGUGCGAAAGCUAGGGGAGCGAACGGG
RNAcentral lists this ribosomal RNA (254 nucleotides) under uncultured bacterium. RNAcentral describes it as "partial 16S ribosomal RNA". It matches the Rfam family "Bacterial small subunit ribosomal RNA", at positions 524 to 776 of the family's 1533-position model. The record is from RNAcentral.